UCCCUGGUAGUAUAUCGGUUAGUACACGCGCCUGUCAUGUCGGGGUUCGCGCGAAAGCGGGGUUCGACUCCCCGCCAGGGAG
Molecule: non-coding RNA, 82 nt
Organism: Cytidiella melzeri
Lineage: Eukaryota; Fungi; Basidiomycota; Agaricomycetes; Polyporales; Irpicaceae
Source: the annotation of a GenBank genome assembly